AUAUACUUAUGUACACACAUACAUAAAAUUGGAAUGACACAGAAAAUUAGCCUGUUCCCUGCAGAAAGAUGACCUACAAAUUAGUGAACCACUUCUAUCUUUU
This is a small nuclear RNA of Oryctolagus cuniculus (rabbit), 103 nucleotides long. The record is from Ensembl. NCBI's taxonomy places the organism in Eukaryota, Metazoa, Chordata, Mammalia, Lagomorpha, Leporidae.